Molecule: ribosomal RNA, 497 nt
Filed under: uncultured bacterium
Lineage: Bacteria
Description: partial 16S ribosomal RNA
Rfam family: Bacterial small subunit ribosomal RNA
Source: RNAcentral
GACGAACGCUGGCGGCGUGCCUAAUACAUGCAAGUUGAGCGAUGAAGAUUGGUGCUUGCGCCAAUUUGAAGAGCAGCGAACGGGUGAGUAACGCGUGGGGAAUCUGCCUUUGAGCGGGGGACAACAUUUGGAAACGAAUGCUAAUACCGCAUAACAACUUUAAACAUAAGUUUUAAGUUUGAAAGAUGCAAUUGCAUCACUCAAAGAUGAUCCCGCGUUGUAUUAGCUAGUUGGUGAGGUAAAGGCUCACCAAAGGGAUGAUACAUAGCCGACCUGAGAGGGAGAUCGGCCACAAUGGGACUGAGACACGGCCCAAACUCCUAAGGGAGGCAGCAGGAGGGAAUCUUUGGCAAUGGACGAAAGGCUGAACGAGCAACGCCGCGGGAGUGAAGAAGGGUCUCGGAUCGUAAAAGUCUGUUGGUAGAGAAGAACGUUGGUGAGAGUGGAAAGCUCAUCAAGUGACGGUAACUACACAGAAAGCGACGGCUAACUACGUG